CAAACGCGCAUCCUUCAGACAGUGCUAACCAACAUAUCCAGUCUUGUUUUCCAGGGCUGGUCUCUAAUUUUGGCUUCUGGCAUUCUGUCAGGCCAUAUAAGGGUAUUCAAUUGCUGCGCUUAGCGAUAUUGUGAUGCGUAGACCAAAUUUCAGGGACUUCAUAAGAACUGGCCGGGCAUUUUUUUUUCUUGUUGCGCGGGCAGUGUCAGAGAAGUCAGACAAUCG
This 225-nucleotide small nucleolar RNA is filed under the name Trichophyton rubrum BMU01672. Its description in RNAcentral is "HACA-box snoRNA". The record is from RNAcentral. Lineage: Eukaryota; Fungi; Ascomycota; Eurotiomycetes; Onygenales; Arthrodermataceae.